CCCUUAGAUGUUCUGGGCCGCACGCGCGCUACACUGACGAUGGCAACGAGUUUUUCCUUCGCCGAAAGGUGUGGGUAAUCUUUUGAAACAUCGUCGUGCUGGGGAUAGAUCAUUGCAAUUUUUGAUCUUGAACGAGGAAUUCCUAGUAAGCGCGAGUCAUCAGCUCGCGUUGAUUACGUCCCUGCCCUUUGUACACACCGCCCGUCGCUACUACCGAUUGAAUGGUUUAGUGAGGACUCCUGAUUGGCGCCGCCGCCCCGGCAACGGAGCAGCGGACUUCCGAAAAGUUGUUCAAACUUGAUCAUUUAGAGGAAGUAAAAGUCGUAACA
This 329-nucleotide ribosomal RNA is filed under the name uncultured eukaryote. RNAcentral's name for it is "partial 18S ribosomal RNA". It matches the Rfam family "Eukaryotic small subunit ribosomal RNA", at positions 1470 to 1796 of the family's 1831-position model. The record is from RNAcentral.